AGCAGGGUCAGCUAAAUAAGCUAUCGGGCCCAUACCCCGAAAAUGCCACACAGGCCCCUGCUA
This 63-nucleotide transfer RNA is filed under the name Hebius metusia (Wa Shan keelback). RNAcentral describes it as "Hebius metusium (Wa Shan keelback) tRNA-Met". The record is from RNAcentral. Lineage: Eukaryota; Metazoa; Chordata; Lepidosauria; Squamata; Natricidae.